AAUGGUGGCUAUAGCGUUGGUGUUCACCUCUUCCCAUUUCGAACAGAGAAGUUAAGCCCAACUGCGCCAAUGGUACUGCAGUCAAAUGUGGGAGAGUAGGUCGCUGCCAACU
Cytophaga hutchinsonii ATCC 33406 is the source of this 112-nucleotide ribosomal RNA. The record is from Rfam. NCBI's taxonomy places the organism in Bacteria, Pseudomonadati, Bacteroidota, Cytophagia, Cytophagales, Cytophagaceae.